AACGCAAACGGCGCUCCCUGGUAUUCCGGGGAGCAUACCUGUUUGAGCAUCAAUAUUAAUCUCAAACCCUUUUGGGUAUGGUGAAUGAGCGUCAUGCCUAGCAUGUUGCUUGAAAUGCAUUGUAGAGCCUAUCAACCAAUGGUGAGGACCUAGUCCAGCUGUUGGAUUUGGUAAAGCUUGAAACCACCAAACUUGAUCUCAAAUCAGGUAAGAUUACCCGCUGAAUUGAA
RNAcentral lists this unclassified non-coding RNA (230 nucleotides) under uncultured fungus. RNAcentral describes it as "sequence contains 5.8S rRNA gene, ITS2, 28S rRNA gene". The record is from RNAcentral. Lineage: Eukaryota; Fungi.